This 1369-nucleotide ribosomal RNA is filed under the name uncultured bacterium. Its description in RNAcentral is "bacterial SSU rRNA". It matches the Rfam family "Bacterial small subunit ribosomal RNA", at positions 28 to 1381 of the family's 1533-position model. The record is from RNAcentral.
GACGAACGCUGGCGGCGUGCCUAAUACAUGCAAGUAGAACGCUGAAGAGAGGAGCUUGCUCUUCUUGGAUGAGUUGCGAACGGGUGAGUAACGCGUAGGUAACCUGCCUUGUAGCGGGGGAUAACUAUUGGAAACGAUAGCUAAUACCGCAUAACAAUGGAUGACCCAUGUCAUUUAUUUGAAAGGGGCAAAUGCUCCACUACAAGAUGGACCUGCGUUGUAUUAGCUAGUAGGUGAGGUAACGGCUCACCUAGGCGACGAUACAUAGCCGACCUGAGAGGGUGAUCGGCCACGCUGGGACUGAGACACGGCCCAGACUCCUACGGGAGGCAGCAGUAGGGAAUCUUCGGCAAUGGGAGCAACCCUGACCGAGCAACGCCGCGUGAGUGAAGAAGGUUUUCGGAUCGUAAAGCUCUGUUGUAAGUCAAGAACGAGUGUGAGAGUGGAAAGUUCACACUGUGACGGUAGCUUACCAGAAAGGGACGGCUAACUACGUGCCAGCAGCCGCGGUAAUACGUAGGUCCCGAGCGUUGUCCGGAUUUAUUGGGCGUAAAGCGAGCGCAGGCGGUUUGAUAAGUCUGAAGUUAAAGGCUGUGGCUCAACCAUAGUUCGCUUUGGAAACUGUCAAACUUGAGUGCAGAAGGGGAGAGUGGAAUUCCAUGUGUAGCGGUGAAAUGCGUAGAUAUAUGGAGGAACACCGGUGGCGAAAGCGGCUCUCUGGUCUGUAACUGACGCUGAGGCUCGAAAGCGUGGGGAGCGAACAGGAUUAGAUACCCUGGUAGUCCACGCCGUAAACGAUGAGUGCUAGGUGUUGGAUCCUUUCCGGGAUUCAGUGCCGCAGCUAACGCAUUAAGCACUCCGCCUGGGGAGUACGACCGCAAGGUUGAAACUCAAAGGAAUUGACGGGGGCCCGCACAAGCGGUGGAGCAUGUGGUUUAAUUCGAAGCAACGCGAAGAACCUUACCAGGUCUUGACAUCCCGAUGCUAUUUCUAGAGAUAGAAAGUUACUUCGGUACAUCGGUGACAGGUGGUGCAUGGUUGUCGUCAGCUCGUGUCGUGAGAUGUUGGGUUAAGUCCCGCAACGAGCGCAACCCCUAUUGUUAGUUGCCAUCAUUCAGUUGGGCACUCUAGCGAGACUGCCGGUAAUAAACCGGAGGAAGGUGGGGAUGACGUCAAAUCAUCAUGCCCCUUAUGACCUGGGCUACACACGUGCUACAAUGGUUGGUACAACGAGUUGCGAGUCGGUGACGGCAAGCUAAUCUCUUAAAGCCAAUCUCAGUUCGGAUUGUAGGUUGCAACUCGCCUACAUGAAGUCGGAAUCGCUAGUAAUCGCGGAUCAGCACGCCGCGGUGAAUACGUUCCCGGGCCU